RNAcentral lists this small nuclear RNA (119 nucleotides) under Myotis davidii. RNAcentral's name for it is "U2 spliceosomal RNA". It matches the Rfam family "U2 spliceosomal RNA". From Rfam's summary of the family: U2 is a small nuclear RNA (snRNA) component of the spliceosome (involved in pre-mRNA splicing). Complementary binding between U2 snRNA (in an area lying towards the 5' end but 3' to hairpin I) and the branchpoint sequence (BPS) of the intron results the bulging out of an unpaired adenosine, on the BPS, which initiates a nucleophilic attack at the intronic 5' splice site, thus starting the first of two transesterification reactions that mediate splicing. Lineage: Eukaryota; Metazoa; Chordata; Mammalia; Chiroptera; Vespertilionidae. The record is from Rfam by way of RNAcentral.
AUCGCUUCUCGGCCUUUUGGCUAAGAUCAAGUGUAGUAUCUGUUCUUAUCAGUUUAAUAAUAUUAUUGGCCAAUUCCUCGUUUUGCCCUAAAAGGUCACAGAUAAUACUCUCACUCUAC